UCGGAGGUGACUCUGCAAACCAAAUCAUUUUGAGCACAGAAAGAAUGACACCCCAAAAACGUGUUCCCAACACCAGUAUGUUGCCUGCGCCAAAUUAUAAUGUG
Ipomoea nil (Japanese morning glory) is the source of this 104-nucleotide long non-coding RNA. RefSeq lists it as uncharacterized. NCBI's taxonomy places the organism in Eukaryota, Viridiplantae, Streptophyta, Magnoliopsida, Solanales, Convolvulaceae. The record is from RefSeq and is a predicted model, not a curated record. The transcript has 3 exons.